AUGGAGGGUGGAGACGCAAGAAAUGGUUUGACUGGGACAUCACAGACAACGGGAAGUGGGGUUGAGACCCCAGCAAAGCCACUGCCUCCUUGCUGUGUCAAGGCGAGGGCUGCAGCACCUGAAUCUGAGGCCAAGUGCCAUGCCACUGUGGUAUCGGGAUGGUUCACGGAGACCCGCUCACGAUGUGGUAAAGCGAACAAACUGCAGUAUUACAAUAAUCCAAUGUGGCCAGGAGAGACCCAUUCCUUGAAAGUGGAAAAGAUCCUGUACCAGGGGAAGUCACCAUACCAAGAAGUCUUGAUUUUUGAGUCGUUAACCUAUGGAAAAGUCCUUGCGCUUGAUGGUAUUGUACAAUUGACUGAUAAGGAUGAAUGUGCCUACCAGGAAAUGAUUACUCAUCUCCCACUCUGUUCAAUUCCUUCUCCUAAGAAGGUUUUGGUUAUUGGAGGUGGAGAUGGUGGUGUACUUCGAGAGAUAGCCAGACAUGGUUCAGUGGAGUCUAUUGAUAUAUGUGAAAUUGAUCAGCUAGUUAUUGAUGUUUGUAAAGAUUUCUUCCCAGACUUAUCUGUUGGAUUUAAGGAUCCUCGUGUUCGACUUCAUGUUGGUGAUGCUGUGGAGUUCCUAAGAAAUUCUCCUGAAGGGACAUAUGAUGCUAUUAUUGUUGAUUCAUCAGAUCCUAUAGGGCCUGCUCAGGAACUUGUAGAGAAGCCAUUUUUUGAGACAAUUGCUAGAGCUUUGAGACCUGGCGGUGUUCUUUGUAAUCAAGCUGAGAGUAUGUGGUUGCAUACACAUCUGAUUCAGGACAUGCUUUCGAUCUGCUGUGAGACUUUCAAGGGUUCUGUCCACUAUGCCUGGGCAAGUGUCCCAACAUAUCCUAGUGGUGCAAUUGGGUUUUUGCUAUGUGCUAAAGAGGGUCCACCAGUCAACUUCCUGGCACCCAUAAAUCCAAUCGAAAAACUAGAAGGCGCUAUGACAGCAGGGAGGGACAUCAGAUUUUAUAAUACAGAGAUGCAUAGGGCAGCGUUUGUUCUUCCAACCUUUGCAAAGAGAGAGCUAGAAGCAUACGGUGGCUCCACUAGAAGGGCACAAGAGGAAAAAUCAGCAGAACCAGCGAAGGUUGCCGUCGCGCCACACAGUGAAAUUCUUACCGCUUAG
This 1155-nucleotide ribosomal RNA is filed under the name Triticum aestivum (bread wheat). RNAcentral describes it as "partial small subunit ribosomal RNA". Lineage: Eukaryota; Viridiplantae; Streptophyta; Magnoliopsida; Poales; Poaceae. The record is from RNAcentral.